Molecule: ribosomal RNA, 297 nt
Filed under: uncultured bacterium
Lineage: Bacteria
Description: partial 16S ribosomal RNA
Rfam family: Bacterial small subunit ribosomal RNA
Source: RNAcentral
UUGAGAUUUUGGGUUAAGUUCCCGUAAACGAGCGCAACCCCUUUGCCCUAGGUUGCCAGCACGUAAUGUGGGAACUCUAGGGAGACGCCGAUGACAAACCGGAGGAAGGUGGGGAUGACGUCAAGUCAUCAUGGCCCUUAUCGGGCAGGGCUACACACGUGCUACAAUGGCACGGUAACAGAGGGCGGCAAACCCGCGAGGGGGAGCAAAUCUCACAAAACCGGUCGUAGUCCGGAUCGGAGNACUCGACUCCGUGAAGUCGGAAUCGCUAGUAAUCGCGAAUACANAACUGUCGCC